This 468-nucleotide ribosomal RNA is filed under the name uncultured bacterium. Its description in RNAcentral is "partial 16S ribosomal RNA". It matches the Rfam family "Bacterial small subunit ribosomal RNA", at positions 28 to 507 of the family's 1533-position model. The record is from RNAcentral.
GACGAACGCUGGCGGCGUGCUUAACACAUGCAAGUCGAACGGAAAGGCCCUGCUUUUGUGGGGUGCUCGAGUGGCGAACGGGUGAGUAACACGUGAGUAACCUGCCCUUGACUUUGGGAUAACUUCAGGAAACUGGGGCUAAUACCGGAUAGGAGCUCCUGCUGCAUGGUGGGGGUUGGAAAGUUUCGGCGGUUGGGGAUGGACUCGCGGCUUAUCAGCUUGUUGGUGGGGUAGUGGCUUACCAAGGCUUUGACGGAUAGCCGGCCUGAGAGGGUGACCGGCCACAUUGGGACUGAGAUACGGCCCAGACUCCUACGGGAGGCAGCAGUGUGGAAUAUUGCACAAUGGGCGGAAGCCUGAUGCAGCAACGCCGCGUGCGGGAUGACGGCCUUCGGGUUGUAAACCGCUUUCGCCUGUGACGAAGCGUGAGUGACGGUAAUGGGUAAAGAAGCACCGGCUAACUACGUG